RNAcentral lists this unclassified non-coding RNA (148 nucleotides) under uncultured Mortierella. RNAcentral's name for it is "sequence contains ITS1". Lineage: Eukaryota; Fungi; Mortierellomycota; Mortierellomycetes; Mortierellales; Mortierellaceae. The record is from RNAcentral.
UAAUAAGUGUUUUAUGGCACUUUUUUAAAUCCAUAUCCACCUUGUGUGCAAUGUCAGGGUUGAUUUCUUUCGAGAGAUCAACCCCAAACAUCAACUAUUAUCUCAACUCUUUGUCUGAAAAAUAUUAUGAAUAAAACAAUUCAAAAUA